UGGGGAAUAUUGGACAAUUGGCGCAAGCCUGAUCCAGCCAUGCCGCGUGAGUGAUGAAGGCCCUAGGGUUGUAAAGCUCUCUCAUCGGUGAAGAUAAUGACGGUAACCGGAGAAGAAGCCCCGGCUAACUUCGUGCCAGCAGCCGCGGUAAUACGAAGGGGGCUAGCGUUGUUCGGAUUUACUGGGCGUAAAGCGCACGUAGGCGGGCUUUUAAGUCAGGGGUGAAAUCCCGGGGCUCAACCCCGGAACUGCCUUUGAUACUGGAAGUCUUGAGUAUGGUAGAGGUAAGUGUAAUUCCGAGGGUAGAGGUGAAAUUCGUAGAUAGUCGGAGGAAAACCAGAGGCAAAGGCGGCUCACUGGACCAUUACUGACGCUAAGGUGCGAAAGCGUGGGGAGCAAACAGG
RNAcentral lists this ribosomal RNA (404 nucleotides) under Verrucomicrobiota bacterium. Its description in RNAcentral is "Verrucomicrobia bacterium partial 16S ribosomal RNA". It matches the Rfam family "Bacterial small subunit ribosomal RNA", at positions 355 to 776 of the family's 1533-position model. Lineage: Bacteria; Pseudomonadati; Verrucomicrobiota. The record is from RNAcentral.